Molecule: ribosomal RNA, 387 nt
Filed under: Triticum aestivum (bread wheat)
Lineage: Eukaryota; Viridiplantae; Streptophyta; Magnoliopsida; Poales; Poaceae
Description: partial small subunit ribosomal RNA
Source: RNAcentral
AUGGCGCGUGUUGCCUGGAGGGCAGUUGGAGUUGUGUUGGGGACUGACUUAUGCCCAAAUAACACCUGGCAAUUCUAUGUGUGGUGUAAUAUGUUCCUACCCAAUGAAACUAGAUUUUAUACUGUUGGUUUGGCGGCAGUAACUUGGGCUAUUUGGCUUGCGCGUAAUAAGGCUACUUUUGAAAAACAAUUGAUCAAAUCUCCUUUUGAGAUUGUGUAUUCGGCUUGUUCGUUUCUCUUGUAUUCGGCAGGUCUUCAGCCGGUGGAAGAAGUGGCAAGAUUGCGACUCGGAGCUGAGAUGAUUAGAGCGAGCACAACCAAGUUGAUGGCAAUGUGUGAAGGGGCCAGGCGCGCAACGGGAGACGAGGGUGAGGUGUUCUCUGGAUGA